UGGCGGACGGGUGCGUAACACGUGAGCAACUUGCCCUGCGGUGGGGGAUAGCCGGCCCAACGGCCGGGUAAUACCGCGUACGUCGCCGGAGUCGCAUGGCUCUGGCGGGAGAGCGGCCGCAAGGUCGCGCCGCAGGAGGGGCUCGCGGCCUAUCAGCUAGUUGGCGGGGUAAUGGCCCACCAAGGCUACGACGGGUAGCUGGUCUGAGAGGACGGCCAGCCACAUUGGGACUGAGAUACGGCCCAGACUCCUACGGGAGGCAGCAGUGGGGAAUAUUGCGCAAUGGCCGCAAGGCUGACGCAGCGACGCCGCGUGUGGGAUGACGGCCUUCGGGUUGUAAACCACUGUCGGGGGGGGCGAAUACCUGGCCUCGAAUAGGGGACCAGGGGUGACGGUACCUCCAAAGGAAGCACCGGCUAACUCCGUGCCAGCAGCCGCGGUAAUACGGGGGGUGCGAGCGUUGUCCGGAAUCACUGGGCGUAAAGGGCGCGUAGGCGGCUCACUAAGUCACUUGUGAAAUCCUGGGGCUCAACUCCAGGGCUGCAGGUGAGACUGGAGGGCUAGAGCUCGGUAGAGGCGAGUGGAAUUCCCGGUGUAGCGGUGGAAUGCGUAGAUAUCGGGAAGAACAUCGGUGGCGAAGGCGGCUCGCUGGGCCGAUGCUGACGCUGAGGCGCGAAAGCGUGGGGAGCAAACAGGAUUAGAUACCCUGGUAGUCCGCGCCGUAAACGAUGGGUACUAGGCGUCGGGGGGAGCGACCCCUUCGGUGCCGUCGCUAACGCAGUAAGUACCCCGCCUGGGGAGUACGGCCGCAAGGCUGAAACUCAAGGAAUUGACGGGGGCCCGCACAAGCGGUGGAGCAUGUGGUUCAAUUCG
This 873-nucleotide ribosomal RNA is filed under the name uncultured bacterium. RNAcentral describes it as "bacterial SSU rRNA". It matches the Rfam family "Bacterial small subunit ribosomal RNA", at positions 96 to 953 of the family's 1533-position model. The record is from RNAcentral.